This 464-nucleotide ribosomal RNA is filed under the name uncultured bacterium. RNAcentral describes it as "bacterial SSU rRNA". It matches the Rfam family "Bacterial small subunit ribosomal RNA", at positions 338 to 795 of the family's 1533-position model. The record is from RNAcentral.
CCUACGGGGGGCAGCAGUGGGGAAUAUUGCACAAUGGGCGCAAGCCUGAUGCAGCCAUGCCGCGUGUGUGAAGAAGGCCUUCGGGUUGUAAAGCACUUUCAGCGGGGAGGAAGGCGAUAAGGUUAAUAACCUUGUCGAUUGACGUUACCCGCAGAAGAAGCACCGGCUAACUCCGUGCUAGCAGCCGCGGUAAUACGGAGGGUGCAAGCGUUAAUCGGAAUUACUGGGCGUAAAGCGCACGCAGGCGGUCUGUCAAGUCGGAUGUGAAAUCCCCGGGCUCAACCUGGGAACUGCAUCCGAAACUGGCAGGCUAGAGUCUUGUAGAGGGGGGUAGAAUUCCAGGUGUAGCGGUGAAAUGCGUAGAGAUCUGGAGGAAUACCGGUGGUGAAGGCGGCCCCCUGGAUAAAGACUGACGCUCAGGUGCGAAAGCGUGGGGAGCAAACAGGAUUAGAUACCCUUUAGUC